Molecule: ribosomal RNA, 468 nt
Filed under: uncultured bacterium
Lineage: Bacteria
Description: partial 16S ribosomal RNA
Rfam family: Bacterial small subunit ribosomal RNA
Source: RNAcentral
GACGAACGCUGGCGGCGUGCUUAACACAUGCAAGUCGAACGGAAAGGCCCUGCUUUUGUGGGGUGCUCGAGUGGCGAACGGGUGAGUAACACGUGAGUAACCUGCCCUGGACUUUGGGAUAACUUCAGGAAACUGGGGCUAAUACCGGAUAGGAGCUCCUGCUGCAUGGUGGGGGUUGGAAAGUUUCGGCGGUUGGGGAUGGACUCGCGGCUUAUCAGCUUGUUGGUGGGGUAGUGGCUUACCAAGGCUUUGACGGGUAGCCGGCCUGAGAGGGUGACCGGCCACAUGGGGACUGAGAUACGGCCCAGACUCCUACGGGAGGCAGCAGUGGGGAAUAUUGCACAAUGGGCGGAAGCCUGAUGCAGCAACGCCGCGUGCGGGAUGACGGCCUUCGGGCUGUAAACCGCUUUCGCCUGUGACGAAGCGUGAGUGACGGUAAUGGGUAAAGAAGCACCGGCUAACUACGUG